GGGAGGGGCCAACCCUGGGGAUUUGGCGCUGGGCGAGAACAAGGCUGCGCGCGCUGGGCGGAGGAAAUCGGGCUACCGGGGGUUGGGCCCAUUCAAGGCCAGCUGUGCCAGGGAGGGAUCUUAAAUCACCACCCUCCCACCUUCCACCAACACCCGCCUGACUCCAGAGAUGACAAAAGGAAGCCCGAAGAGGUUUGUGUGAGUUCUUUCCGGACCGGCAAAACUUAACUGGUAAAGGCGGUCAAGUCCCUGCGGUCUUCUGCACUGAAACUGUUGAAACGGACACCUUCUGGAGGCCUGAAGAGGUGAGAUAACCUGAGCACCUUGCGGCGGGAUGCAGAGCUAGUCUCCGCGGAUCUGAUGUCAGUGACUCACAAGGAGCCAGAGGCGCCCAUGGGAGAGGCAGCCGCCCCCGCAGAUUCCCGAGGUGGAGUCGCCUCGCUCAGGAACCCACAAGUGGAGUCUGAGACCCUGAGGGCCGGGACCCUUCGGAGCGUUGCCAUGCUCUUGGCCCACCACCGCAUGUCCCAAGGCCAUGGACCAAAGUGCUGUGGCCCGAAUGACCGUGGCCACAAGAAGCCGGGAGACUUCGCUGCGACCCUUUACCGCACCAUCCUCUGGGAACAGCUGGUGUGACAGUAACACCUCUGCAUUUGCUUGAAACUGUGAAAGCAGUUUUGUCUUCAGAGUCCUUAGAUACGCAACAAAAGUGACAAAACAAAACGCCAGUCCUUUAUUUCUCCCUUGUGCUCCUGGUUUGUCUGUCGGGGAAGAACGAACGAGGCGGGAGCAUAGGCGGGGGUGGACCAGGCGAGUUCCGGUACCGGACCCUCCGUAGCUUGGCUUUGCUGGGCACGGGCAGGGAGAUGGUGUCUCCUGUGCACACAGUGGGUGACAAGCGGCCAUAGUGGCCUUUUGUCUGAUUUGUCAACACACGCUGGGCAUCCAUGAGAAACAGCAGACAGGCAGCCAGCAGCCCUGAGUACUCCACUUACCCCGGGAAACUUUCCUACUCCGUGGCCCUGGCCCUUCUUGGUCCAGAGUCCAUCUCAGGGGCCCUUCCCAGCAUCUGUGCGUGGGUCUGUGGCCGCCUCCCCUGCAUCCUGCUCGCCCUCCUCUCCAAACGCACCCAUAAAUUCAGAGUUCCUUAAGUGCUAAACAAAUUUGAGCCAGUAUCCCUUACCCCUACGACUCUUGGCAACCCCUUUGUCCACCGCCUGCCAGCCAUCUGUCGAGAUGACCUGUUGCAGUAUCACUGGGGUGGAAGGUGACAGUAGUAGAGAUAAGUGGUCUGGGAAACCAGCCACCCUGCGGUGAGAAGAUGGGCUCAGCACCCUCUCCCAUCUAAAAACUGGCAUGCUGUCUUGCAAUCCCUAUUCCAACUGGGUGACUUUUCCAAGGUGCCUUUUUUUUCUAUAACCAGAAGGAUUUGAAUUAAAUUAUCCACCCCAUCCUGGAGCUGAAAGGGAGCUCUCCCUUGAGAACAAAGCCUAGCAAGAUGUUAGGUACUGUGUCAGACUCACCACAUAGGAUCACUUUAGAAUUCCCCUAACUAGAUGAAUUCUAAUAUACAUCUGAUUCCACCAUCCACCCCCCUGUUGUUUCUGAGAAGCUAUUGUGGACCUGUCAAUUUUCUAGUUAUAUAUAAAUAUGUAACACAAAAAUAGAGUAAUAAUAUACAUACCCUUAUGUAACUAGCUUUUUUCAUUCCACAUCUUGUAGCUACAGAAUAAAAUGCUUUAAUUUACCCAGUGGAUAUAUUUCUUUCUGGAUUUAAAGUAUUAUUCAAAUUUACUGUUAUUUUCUCAGUUCUUAGUUUUGGCUGUAAGUAUGCAGAAGUUGUGGCUAUAUUGUGUGGGGGGAGAUGUGUGUGUACCAUGUGCUGCCCUUAGUUUUGUUUUUCAAGAAUAUGUGUUUUAUAAAUUACUGUAUUACUGUAACAAAUAUAGUCCCAAUUGCAGUAUGUGAAAUGUGUAUUACCCUACAAUGUGAAGAUUAUUGGCAAAAUCAAUGCACAAUAUCUUUUGAAUUUGGUUGGUGAAAGAUCUA
Molecule: long non-coding RNA, 2049 nt
Organism: Pteropus alecto (black flying fox)
Lineage: Eukaryota; Metazoa; Chordata; Mammalia; Chiroptera; Pteropodidae
Exons: 3
Source: RefSeq, a predicted model, not a curated record